CAUGUAAGAUGAGUCUCUUGAAGACAGCAUACCAUUGGAUCUUGGUUCUUUAUACAGCUUGCCAAGCUGUGCCUUUUUUUAACUGGUGUUUAGCAUAUUUACAUUCAAGGUUAAUAUUGAUAUAUGUGGAUUUGAUCCUGUUAUGUUGUUAGUUGUUUAUUAUGCCAACCUGUUUGUUGUAUUCGCUGGAUUUGAAUGUUGGCCUCUAUAGCUAGGUUGGAGGAGU
RNAcentral lists this long non-coding RNA (226 nucleotides) under Pan troglodytes (chimpanzee). RNAcentral describes it as "long non-coding RNA NONPTRT014072". The record is from RNAcentral. Lineage: Eukaryota; Metazoa; Chordata; Mammalia; Primates; Hominidae.